CUUUUACAAUGAAGAGUUUGAUCCUGGCUCAGGAUGAACGCUAGCUACAGGCUUAACACAUGCAAGUCGAGGGGCAUCAGGGUGUAGCAAUACACCGCUGGCGACCGGCGCACGGGUGAGUAACACGUAUCCAACCUGCCCUUUACUCGGGGAUAGCCUUUCGAAAGAAAGAUUAAUACCCGAUGGUAUAACAUGACCUCCUGGUUUUGUUAUUAAAGAAUUUCGGUAGAGGAUGGGGAUGCGUUCCAUUAGGCAGUUGGCGGGGUAACGGCCCACCAAACCUUCGAUGGAUAGGGGUUCUGAGAGGAAGGUCCCCCACAUUGGAACUGAGACACGGUCCAAACUCCUACGGGAGGCAGCAGUGAGGAAUAUUGGUCAAUGGGCGAGAGCCUGAACCAGCCAAGUAGCGUGAAGGAUGACCGCCCUAUGGGUUGUAAACUUCUUUUAUAUGGGAAUAAAGGGUGCCACGUGUGGCAUUUUGUAUGUACCAUAUGAAUAAGGAUCGGCUAACUCCGUGCCAGCAGCCGCGGUAAUACGGAGGAUCCGAGCGUUAUCCGGAUUUAUUGGGUUUAAAGGGAGCGUAGGUGGACAUGUAAGUCAGUUGUGAAAGUUUGCGGCUCAACCGUAAAAUUGCAGUUGAUACUGCGUGUCUUGAGUACAGUAGAGGUGGGCGGAAUUCGUGGUGUAGCGGUGAAAUGCUUAGAUAUCACGAAGAACUCCGAUUGCGAAGGCAGCUCACUGGACUGCAACUGACACUGAUGCUCGAAAGUGUGGGUAUCAAACAGGAUUAGAUACCCUGGUAGUCCACACAGUAAACGAUGAAUACUCGCUGUUUGCGAUAUACAGUAAGCGGCCAAGCGAAAGCAUUAAGUAUUCCACCUGGGGAGUACGCCGGCAACGGUGAAACUCAAAGGAAUUGACGGGGGCCCGCACAAGCGGAGGAACAUGUGGUUUAAUUCGAUGAUACGCGAGGAACCUUACCCGGGCUUAAAUUGCAAAUGAAUAUGCCGGAAACGGCAUAGCCGCAAGGCAUUUGUGAAGGUGCUGCAUGGUUGUCGUCAGCUCGUGCCGUGAGGUGUCGGCUUAAGUGCCAUAACGAGCGCAACCCUUAUCUUCAGUUACUAACAGGUCAUGCUGAGGACUCUGGAGAGACUGCCGUCGUAAGAUGUGAGGAAGGUGGGGAUGACGUCAAAUCAGCACGGCCCUUACGUCCGGGGCUACACACGUGUUACAAUGGGGGGUACAGAAGGCCGCUACACAGCGAUGUGAUGCCAAUCCCUAAAGCCCCUCUCAGUUCGGAUCGAAGUCUGCAACCCGACUUCGUGAAGCUGGAUUCGCUAGUAAUCGCGCAUCAGCCACGGCGCGGUGAAUACGUUCCCGGGCCUUGUACACACCGCCCGUCAAGCCAUGGGAGCCGGGGGUACCUGAAGUACGUAACCGCAAGGAGCGUCCUAGGGUAAAACUGGUGACUGGGGCUAAGUCGUAACAAGGUAGCCGUACCGGAAGGUGCGGCUGGAACACCUCCUUU
RNAcentral lists this ribosomal RNA (1528 nucleotides) under Bacteroides salyersiae. RNAcentral describes it as "bacterial SSU rRNA". It matches the Rfam family "Bacterial small subunit ribosomal RNA". The record is from RNAcentral. Lineage: Bacteria; Pseudomonadati; Bacteroidota; Bacteroidia; Bacteroidales; Bacteroidaceae.